This 253-nucleotide ribosomal RNA is filed under the name uncultured bacterium. Its description in RNAcentral is "partial 16S ribosomal RNA". It matches the Rfam family "Bacterial small subunit ribosomal RNA", at positions 524 to 776 of the family's 1533-position model. The record is from RNAcentral.
UACGUAGGGUGCAAGCGUUAAUCGGAAUUACUGGGCGUAAAGCGUGCGCAGGCGGUUUUGUAAGUCUGUCGUGAAAUCCCCGGGCUUAACCUGGGAAUGGCGAUGGAGACUGCAAGGCUAGAGUUUGGCAGAGGGGGGUAGAAUUCCACGUGUAGCAGUGAAAUGCGUAGAGAUGUGGAGGAACACCGGUGGCGAAGGCGGCAUCCUGGACCAACACUGACGCUGAGGAGCGAAAGCCAGGGGAGCAAACGGG